Molecule: ribosomal RNA, 253 nt
Filed under: uncultured bacterium
Lineage: Bacteria
Description: partial 16S ribosomal RNA
Rfam family: Bacterial small subunit ribosomal RNA
Source: RNAcentral
UACGAAGGGGGCUAGCGUUGUUCGGAUUCAUUGGGCGUAAAGGGUGCGUAGGCGGUGAGGUAAGUCGGAUGUGAAAUCCCGGGGCUCAACCCCGGAACUGCAUUCGAUACUGCCUUGCUUGAGCACUGGAGAGGAGACUGGAAUUUACGGUGUAGCAGUGAAAUGCGUAGAUAUCGUAAGGAAGACCAGUGGCGAAGGCGAGUCUCUGGACAGUUGCUGACGCUGAGGCACGAAGGCCAGGGGAGCAAACGGG